RNAcentral lists this unclassified non-coding RNA (234 nucleotides) under plant metagenome. RNAcentral's name for it is "partial contains small subunit ribosomal RNA, internal transcribed spacer 1, and 5.8S ribosomal RNA". The record is from RNAcentral.
UUUCCGUAGGUGAACCUGCGGAAGGAUCAUUACUGAGUGAGGGCCCUCUGGGUCCAACCUUCCACCCGUGUUUAUUGUACCUUGUUGCUUCGGUGAGCCCGCCUCACGGCCGCCGGGGAGCAUCUGCCCCCAGGGCCGCGCUGGCCGAAGUCACCCUUGAACUCUGUCUAAAGUUUGCAGUCUGAGCGAAAACUAAAUAAGUUAAAACUUUCAACAACGGAUCUCUUGGUUCCG